GGGGUGGGUAAGUAUAGUGGUAAGUAUUCCCGCCUGUCAUGCGGGUGACCCGGGUUCGUUCCCUGGCAACUGCGCCA
Molecule: transfer RNA, 77 nt
Filed under: Helianthus annuus (common sunflower)
Lineage: Eukaryota; Viridiplantae; Streptophyta; Magnoliopsida; Asterales; Asteraceae
Description: tRNA-Asp
Rfam family: tRNA (bases 11-66)
About the family: Transfer RNA (tRNA) molecules are approximately 80 nucleotides in length.
Source: RNAcentral